GAUGAACGCUGGCGGCGUGCCUAAUACAUGCAAGUCGAGCGAACAGACGAGGAGCUUGCUCCUUCGACGUUAGCGGCGGACGGGUGAGUAACACGUAGGUAACCUACCUAUAAGACUGGGAUAACUUCGGGAAACCGGAGCUAAUACCGGAUAAUAUUUCGAACCGCAUGGUUCGAUAGUGAAAGAUGGCUUUGCUAUCACUUAUAGAUGGACCUGCGCCGUAUUAGCUAGUUGGUAAGGUAACGGCUUACCAAGGCAACGAUACGUAGCCGACAUGAGAGGGUGAUUGGCCACACUGGAACUGAGACACGGUCCAGACUCCUACGGGAGGCAGCAGCAGGGAAUCUUACGCAAUGGGGGAAAGCCUGACGGAGCACCGCCGCGUGAGUGAUGAAGGUCUUCGGAUCGUAAAACUCUGUUAUUAGGGAAGAACAAACGUGUAAGUAACUGUGCACGUCUUGACGGUACCUAAUCAGAAAGCCACGGCUAACUACGUG
RNAcentral lists this ribosomal RNA (497 nucleotides) under uncultured bacterium. RNAcentral's name for it is "partial 16S ribosomal RNA". It matches the Rfam family "Bacterial small subunit ribosomal RNA", at positions 28 to 507 of the family's 1533-position model. The record is from RNAcentral.